Molecule: ribosomal RNA, 469 nt
Filed under: uncultured bacterium
Lineage: Bacteria
Description: partial 16S ribosomal RNA
Rfam family: Bacterial small subunit ribosomal RNA
Source: RNAcentral
GACGAACGCUGGCGGCGUGCUUAACACAUGCCAGUCGAACGGUGAUGCUCCAGCUUGCUAGAGUGGAUCAGUGGCGAACGGGUGAGUAACACGUGAGCAACCUGCCCCAGACUCUGGAAUAAGCGCUGGAAACGGCGUCUAAUACUGGAUACGAAACUGGCCCGCAUGGGCAUGGUUUGGAAAGUUUUUCGGUUUGGGAUGGGCUCGCGGCCUAUCAGCUUGUUGGUGAGGUAAUGGCUCACCAAGGCGACGACGGGUAGCCGGCCUGAGAGGGCGACCGGCCACACUGGGACUGAGACACGGCCCAGACUCCUACGGGAGGCAGCAGUGGGGAAGAUUGCACAAUGGGCGAAAGCCUGAUGCAGCGACGCCGCGUGAGGGAUGACGGCCUUCGGGUUGGAAACCUCUUUCAGCAGGGAAGAAGCGAAAGUGACGGUACCUGCAGAAGAAGCACCGGCUAACUACGUGC